CGUCUCCUCCAUGUCUCCUCCUGAUAUGGAUUUAGCCCGCCCACUUAGGCGGGCUUUUUCUU
RNAcentral lists this non-coding RNA (62 nucleotides) under Paraburkholderia bannensis. Its description in RNAcentral is "toxic small RNA". It matches the Rfam family "Betaproteobacteria toxic small RNA". Rfam says of the family: Overexpression in amino aid rich medium attenuates growth, suggesting role in repressing amino acid intake and metabolism. The record is from RNAcentral. RNAcentral also lists the same sequence under 1 other name. Lineage: Bacteria; Pseudomonadati; Pseudomonadota; Betaproteobacteria; Burkholderiales; Burkholderiaceae.